Molecule: ribosomal RNA, 496 nt
Filed under: uncultured bacterium
Lineage: Bacteria
Description: partial 16S ribosomal RNA
Rfam family: Bacterial small subunit ribosomal RNA
Source: RNAcentral
GGGGGGGGGGGGGGGGGGGGGGGGGGGGGGGAGGUCGGGGGAGCGGGCGGGGCGCGGGCGUUUCUGGUGUUAGCGGCGGAGGGGUGAGUCACGCGGGGAUAGCCUACGGGUAGGACUGGGAUCACUGCGGGAACCCGGAGCUAACACCGGAUAGUAUUUUGACCCGCAUGGUUCCAACGUGGAAGACGGUCUUGCUGUCACUUAUAGAUGGAGCCGCGCUGCACUAGCUAGUUGGUACGGUCACGGCUUACCAAGGCAACGAUGCAUAGCCGAACUCAGAGGGUGAUCGGCCACACUGGAACGGAGACACGGGCCAGACUCCUACGGGAGGCAGCAGUAGGGAAGCGUCCGCAAUGGGCGAAAGCCUGACGGAGCAACGCCGCGUGAGUGAUGAAGGUCUUCGGAUCGUAAAACUCUGUUAUUAGGGAAGAACAUAUGUGUAAGUAACUGUGCACAUCUUGACGGUACCUAAUCAGAAAGCCACGGCUAACUACGU